Molecule: ribosomal RNA, 351 nt
Filed under: uncultured bacterium
Lineage: Bacteria
Description: bacterial SSU rRNA
Rfam family: Bacterial small subunit ribosomal RNA
Source: RNAcentral
AACGAACGCUGGCGGCGUGCCUAACACAUGCAAGUCGUGCGAGAAAGUUCCUUCGGGAGCGAGUAAAGCGGCGCACGGGUGAGUAACACGUAGGUAACCUGCCCCCAGUCUGGAACAACUAGAGGAAACUCUAGCUAAUGCCGGAUGAGACCACGAUCCCUUCGGGGGUUGCGGCCAAAGAUGGCCUCUACUUGUAAGCUAUCGCUGAGGGAUGGGCCUGCGGGCCAUUAGCUUGUUGGUGAGGUUACGGCUCACCAAGGCUGUGAUGGCUAGCUGGUCUGAGAGGAUGACCAGCCACACUGGGACUGAGACACGGUCCCAGACUCCUACGGGAGGCAGCAGUGGGGAAUA